AUUCCAGCUCCAAUAGCGUAUAUUAAAGUUGUUGCAGUUAAAACGCUCGUAGUCGGAUUUCGGGGCAGGCCGACCGGUCUGCCGAUGGGUAUGCACUGGCCGGCGCGUCCUUCCACCCGGAGACCGCGCCUCCUCUUAACUGAGCGGGCGCGGGAGACGGGUCUUUUACUUUGAAAAAAUCAGAGUGUUUCAAGCAGGCAGUCGCUCUUGCAUGGAUUAGCAUGGGAUAAUGAAAUAGGACUCUGGUGCUAUUUUGUUGGUUUCGAACACCGGAGUAAUGAUUAACAGGGACAGUCAGGGGCACUCGUAUUCCGCCGAGAGAGGUGAAAUUCUCAGACCAGCGGAAGACGAACCACUGCGAAAGCAUUUGCCAGGGAUGUUUUCAUUA
This 388-nucleotide ribosomal RNA is filed under the name Gephyrocapsa sp. RNAcentral's name for it is "partial small subunit ribosomal RNA". It matches the Rfam family "Eukaryotic small subunit ribosomal RNA", at positions 582 to 975 of the family's 1831-position model. The record is from RNAcentral. Lineage: Eukaryota; Haptophyta; Isochrysidales; Noelaerhabdaceae.